This 65-nucleotide transfer RNA is filed under the name Compsopogon caeruleus. Its description in RNAcentral is "partial Selenocysteine transfer RNA". The record is from RNAcentral. Lineage: Eukaryota; Rhodophyta; Compsopogonophyceae; Compsopogonales; Compsopogonaceae.
GUUGGUCUAAUCAACCUGAGCGGAAGCGUUUGGAUCAUCAGUGGUGCAACGGUUUUGAGGCCCAU